CCUACGGGGGGCUGCAGUGGGGAAUAUUGGACAAUGGGGGCAACCCUGAUCCAGCCAUGCCGCGUGUGUGAAGAAGGCCCUCGUGUUGUAAAGCACUUUCAGUGAGGAAGAACGCCUGGUGGUUAAUACCCAUCAGGAAAGACAUCACUCACAGAAGAAGCACCGGCUAACUCCGUGCCAGCAGCCGCGGUAAUACGGAGGGUGCGAGCGUUAAUCGGAAUUACUGGGCGUAAAGCGCGCGUAGGUGGCUUGAUAAGCCGGUUGUGAAAGCCCCGGGCUCAACCUGGGAACGGCAUCCGGAACUGUCAAGCUAGAGUGCAGGAGAGGAAGGUAGAAUUCCCGGUGUAGCGGUGAAAUGCGUAGAGAUCGGGAGGAAUACCAGUGGCGAAGGCGGCCUUCUGGACUGACACUGACGCUGAGGUGCGAAAGCGUGGGUAGCAAACAGGAUUAGAUACCCCGGUAGUC
RNAcentral lists this ribosomal RNA (465 nucleotides) under Vreelandella stevensii. RNAcentral's name for it is "partial 16S ribosomal RNA". It matches the Rfam family "Bacterial small subunit ribosomal RNA", at positions 338 to 795 of the family's 1533-position model. Lineage: Bacteria; Pseudomonadati; Pseudomonadota; Gammaproteobacteria; Oceanospirillales; Halomonadaceae. The record is from RNAcentral.